GACGAACCGUGCGAACGUUGUUCGGAUUCACUGGGCUUAAAGGGCGCGUAGGCGGGCGGUCAAGUCAGGGGUGAAAUCUUUCGGCUCAACCGGAAAAGUGCCUUUGAUACUGGCCGUCUCGAGGGAGGUAGGGGCAUGCGGAACUUCCGGUGGAGCGGUGAAAUGCGUAGAUAUCGGAAGGAACGCCGGUGGCGAAAGCGGCGUGCUGGACCUCUUCUGACGCUGAGGCGCGAAAGCCAGGGGAGCAAAGCGGG
This 254-nucleotide ribosomal RNA is filed under the name uncultured bacterium. RNAcentral describes it as "partial 16S ribosomal RNA". It matches the Rfam family "Bacterial small subunit ribosomal RNA", at positions 524 to 777 of the family's 1533-position model. The record is from RNAcentral.